ACCUGGGUGGCUCAGUUGGUUGAGCAUCUGACUUCAGCUCAGGUCAUGAUCUCGUGGUUCGUGAGUUCGAGCCCCACGCUGGGCU
Molecule: transfer RNA, 85 nt
Filed under: Felis catus (domestic cat)
Lineage: Eukaryota; Metazoa; Chordata; Mammalia; Carnivora; Felidae
Rfam family: tRNA
About the family: Transfer RNA (tRNA) molecules are approximately 80 nucleotides in length. Their secondary structure includes four short double-helical elements and three loops (D, anti-codon, and T loops).
Source: Rfam by way of RNAcentral